Long non-coding RNA from Gadus macrocephalus (Pacific cod), 625 nucleotides. RefSeq lists it as uncharacterized. Lineage: Eukaryota; Metazoa; Chordata; Actinopteri; Gadiformes; Gadidae. The record is from RefSeq and is a predicted model, not a curated record. The transcript has 5 exons.
UUUCUGGAGCGGAGGUGAGCUGGUAGGGGAGCUGUGAAUCUGGAGGAUGAACAUCACUCUACCAACAAGGAUUACCCAGUCUCUGGCUGAAGAGAGCUGAUGGAGGAGCCAAGACUCUGGAGGACGACAUCACUCUACCAACAAGGAUCCUUGUAAGAUUGCAUAAAAGACAAAUUACGUUUGUAACCAGACAAGGAAUCUGGAGGACUGACGGAGAAGCCGUACAUCUGGAAGGCAAAUCCUGAGGACGACCAGGACUCUACCAUCAAGGAUUCCUCACACACCUGAGCUGAACCUCACCUGAUCCUGCGUGGUCGGGGGCAGACAAACCUGAGCUGAACCCGCCCUGAUCCGGAUAUCCUGCUGGUCCCGUCUCCUCAGUUCAUCUGAGCCUCGUCCUCCAGAAGACCUGCUGAGCUCAGCGGUCUGAGGCUGAUGGAUCAAUGACCUCCAGUGGGAGUGAUCUUCUUGACCCCACAUACCAGGAAUCCAUGGCUGAAGGAGCUGAUGGAGGAGCCGUGCUGAAGGAGCUGGUGGAGGAGCUGAUGGAGGCCCAGCCUGGUGGAGGAGCUGAUGGAGGCCCUGCCUUGUGGAGGAGCCGUGCUGAAGGCCCUGCCUGAUGGAG